CAGUGGGUAGCCCUGUUAGACUCUUUUCUUUCUGGUUAUAGGAUUGAAAUGAACAUUUGCCAGUGUUGAUAAGAUUGCUACCAAGACACAGAGACUCUUAGGAUGAAGAGGAACUUCUUAAGGAGGAGGCAAAGACCCGGCCCAGUAAGGGAAGCCCCAGCUCCUCUGAUCCCCAAGAUUGCAGAUCAUUCUCCUCUAAUGAGUUGGAAUAGAAAGCUGCAACACAAACAGGAACCUGGGUCAUUCCUCACUGCAUCAUCUCUAUUUAAGGAUGUAAACCUAAACCUCAGAUUCUGCUAUGAUCCUCCACCAGGACCUCCACAGGAGCUAGAAGAACACAGAAUGGACUGAGUACAUUGGAGUGUGUUAAGGAUGACUCAAGGAACUUUCUUGGUAUGGAGUAAUGGUUGAUUAACAACAGAGACUGAGUUUCUGCUGGAAUGUGAUCCUUACUGGGUGAAGGGAGGAAAUAGAGUGGAAUGGGAAUGAACAGAGCCCUGGCUUUGUAGUGUACUAUGACUAAUCAAUCCAAAAUAGUUCACUUACAAAUAGGUUCAUGCUGAAAUGCACUAUAUAAUUAAAUGUUGAUGUCUUGUCAUUCUUCCUAUCUAUUCUGAAAGCCAUGUAACUCCUUACUUAUCUCUAAAUUUUGUGAAAAU
RNAcentral lists this long non-coding RNA (659 nucleotides) under Ictidomys tridecemlineatus (thirteen-lined ground squirrel). RNAcentral's name for it is "lncRNA (ENSSTOG00000031341.1)". The record is from RNAcentral. Lineage: Eukaryota; Metazoa; Chordata; Mammalia; Rodentia; Sciuridae.